UCGAGGGGUAGAGUGCUUCGGCACUUGAGACCGGCGCACGGGUGCGUAACGCGUGUACAAUCUACCUUUUGCUAAGGGAUAGCCCGAAGAAAUUUGGAUUAAUACCUUAUAGUAUUAUUUGGUGGCAUCAUUAAAUAAUUAAAGCUACGGUGGCAAAAGAUGAGUACGCGUCCCAUUAGCUAGUUGGAGUGGUAACGGCACACCAAGGCUACGAUGGGUAGGGGUUCUGAGAGGGAUGUCCCCCACACUGGUACUGAGACACGGACCAGACUCCUACGGGAGGCAGCAGUGAGGAAUAUUGGACAAUGGUCGGAAGACUGAUCCAGCCAUGCCGCGUGCAGGAUGACGGCCUUAUGGGUUGUAAACUGCUUUUGUAUGGGAAGAAUAAGGUCUACGUGUAGAUUGAUGACGGUACCGUACGAAUAAGCAUCGGCUAACUCCGUGCCAGCAG
Molecule: ribosomal RNA, 451 nt
Filed under: Capnocytophaga canimorsus
Lineage: Bacteria; Pseudomonadati; Bacteroidota; Flavobacteriia; Flavobacteriales; Flavobacteriaceae
Description: bacterial SSU rRNA
Rfam family: Bacterial small subunit ribosomal RNA
Source: RNAcentral